Molecule: ribosomal RNA, 497 nt
Filed under: uncultured bacterium
Lineage: Bacteria
Description: partial 16S ribosomal RNA
Rfam family: Bacterial small subunit ribosomal RNA
Source: RNAcentral
GAUGAACGCUGGCGGCGUGCCUAAUACAUGCAAGUCGAGCGAACAGACGAGGAGCUUGCUCCUCUGACGUUAGCGGCGGACGGGUGAGUAACACGUGGAUAACCUACCUAUAAGACUGGGAUAACUUCGGGAAACCGGAGCUAAUAUCGGAUAAUAUAUUGAACCGCAUGGUUCAAUAGUGAAAGACGGUUUUGCUGUCACUUAUAGAUGGAUCCGCGCCGCAUUAGCUAGUUGGUAAGGUAACGGCUUACCAAGGCGACGAUGCGUAGCCGACCUGAGAGGGUGAUAGGCCACACUGGAACUGAGACACGGUCCAGACUCCUACGGGAGGCAGCAGUAGGGAAUCUUCCGCAAUGGGCGAAAGCCUGACGGAGCAACGCCGCGUGAGUGAUGAAGGUCUUCGGAUCGUAAAACUCUGUUAUUAGGGAAGAACAAAUGUGUAAGUAACUAUGCACGUCUUGACGGUACCUAAUCAGAAAGCCACGGCUAACUACGUG